GGGCCCGCACAAGCGGCGGAGCAUGUGGAUUAAUUCGAUGCAACGCGAAGAACCUUACCUGGGCUUGACAUAUGCAGGAUCGGCGUAGAGAUACGUUUUCCCUUGUGGUCUGUAUACAGGUGGUGCAUGGUUGUCGUCAGCUCGUGUCGUGAGAUGUUGGGUUAAGUCCCGCAACGAGCGCAACCCUUGUCUUAUGUUGCCAGCACGUUAUGGUGGGGACUCAUGAGAGACUGCCGGGGUUAACUCGGAGGAAGGUGGGGAUGACGUCAAAUCAUCAUGCCCCUUAUGUCCAGGGCUUCACACAUGCUACAAUGGUCGGUACAACGCGCUGCGAGCCUGUGAGGGUGAGCGAAUCGCUGAAAGCCGGCCUCAGUUCGGAUUGGGGUCUGCAACUCGACCCCAUGAAGUCGGAGUCGCUAGUAAUCGCAGAUCAGCAACGCUGCGGUGAAUACGUUCCCGGGCCUU
Molecule: ribosomal RNA, 465 nt
Filed under: uncultured bacterium
Lineage: Bacteria
Description: bacterial SSU rRNA
Rfam family: Bacterial small subunit ribosomal RNA
Source: RNAcentral